GAUGAACGCUGGCGGCGUGCCUAAUACAUGCAAGUCGAGCGAAAAGACGAGGAGCUUGCUCCUCUGACGUUAGCGGCGGACGGGUGAGUAACACGUGGAUAACCUACCUAUAAGACUGGGAUAAAUUCGGGAAACCGGAGCUAAUACUGGAUAACAUGUUGAACCGGUUGGUGCAACAGUGAAAGACGGUCUUGCUGUCAAUUAUCGAUGGAUCCGCGCCGCAUUAGCUAGUUGGUAAGGUAACGGCUUACCAAGGGAACGAUGGGUAGCCGACCGGAGAGGGGGAUCGGCCACACGGGAACUGAGACGCGGUCCUGGCGCCGACGGGAGGCAGCAGUACGGAAGGGGCGGCAAUGGGCGAAAUCCUGACGAAGCAGCGCCGCGUUGGUGAAGCAGGGCCGCGGAUCGUAAGACUCUGUUAUGGGUGAAGAACAAAUGUGUAAGUAACGAAGCACUGCGUGACGGUACCGAAUCAAAAAGCCACGGCUAACUACGUG
This 497-nucleotide ribosomal RNA is filed under the name uncultured bacterium. Its description in RNAcentral is "partial 16S ribosomal RNA". It matches the Rfam family "Bacterial small subunit ribosomal RNA", at positions 28 to 507 of the family's 1533-position model. The record is from RNAcentral.